This 2383-nucleotide long non-coding RNA is filed under the name Homo sapiens (human). Its description in RNAcentral is "HSALNT0119752". The record is from RNAcentral. Lineage: Eukaryota; Metazoa; Chordata; Mammalia; Primates; Hominidae.
AAAAUAAGUGCAUACAAAUAAAAUGGACAUUCCACAAGAACACAUCCAAAUGAAAAGAUACACAUUCAAAUGGGGGUAGGGGAGAGGAAUUAGGGUUAAAAAGGAAAUCAGUUCUUCUAUCAAAUAAGGGAUUUGCGAGUUCUAAUAAUGUGCUAAGACCUAAUGUGUGUGUGAUAAUGUGCUAAAACCCAAGGAAGAUGACAAACCAGAUGUUUGGCCCUUCUAGGCCGAAACAGAAUCUGAGGCAGGCUGGUCUAGGGUAGCACUCUUGGGAGAGACAGGAGAGAAGUCUGAGGCCUGCUGAGAGAUAGCGGGUAAAGAGAGAAAGAGAAGAGCCAGCAAAGGUGCCUGAGGAAGAGGAGUUGGAAAAGUUGAGAAGGUAAAUAGUCAAGUGAAAUGUAACAGGUUCUUGAUAAACAAUGCGGCUGGGAGCGUGGAAAGGAAGGUGUUGAUAAAAGAGAUAUAUUAAGAUAAAGUGCAGUUAAAUCCAUCAUUUUUACCACAUUGUACAAGUCCAGCGUGGUUUGGCCAAGUUCAUCUCUGCUCAGCCCAAACUCCAGACACUGGUCUCUCAGAUGUUUUUUUUAACUGUCUCAGGGCUCAGGUACUUGCAGUUUCCUUUAUCAUCCCCCUUCUUUUCACGGCCCUUCUCAUCAUUCAAGUGGUCUCUCUGAGAGGCCCUCUCUGGCUACAUUUUCUAAAGUAGCUUCCACUAUCACUCUCUCUCCCACUGCUUUAUUUUCAGCACUACUCACUACCUGAAAGUAAAGUAUGUCUUUACUUUCUAUUAUCUUUUUCUCCACAAGACUGCAAGCUCCAUGAGAGCAAGCCCUUGUCUUGGUUAUUCACCAUCAUAUGGACAGUGGUUGGCACAGUGGGUGGCACAUGGUAGAUACUCAAUAAAUAUUUCCUCCAUUAAAGGCUUGUGAAGAAAGCUAAGUGGACUCUGAUAUGUUCCACCCAAGUGAUGGAGUAUAUGGAGAUGCUGUUAACUGAGAGGAAUGGUGAGAAAGGGAAGAUGUUUUGAGGAUGUUCAGUUUUGUAAAUGUUGGGUUUUGAGGAAACCCAUGACAUAUCCAGGCGGAGGUUGUCAACAGGUCAUGAGUCAAAAAUUGGGUGAAACCUGUAGAUUUGGGAGCUGUUGGCAGGUCACCGUUGAAACCUUGAGGAGAAAUGAGGUAGCAGAGAGUGAGUAAACACUGCCAAUUGAAUGAGGUCAUUAUACGCAAUGCUUAAGCUCCACUGUGGAGCCUAAUCUUAGAUCUAUGAAAUCUGGCUCUGAAUUCCACUUCCAUGUAAAAAAUACAGAAGCAAGAUUCCUCCACAUUUGCCCAUUGUCUGACAGAUUGAGACAGAAACAAUCCCUGUCAUCCAGGGAGCUUAUGCUUAGCUAAAACAUUCCAUGUACGCUGAAGUUAGGAACACCAAUUUCCUAGCCCCUGCUACCUAAGAAGCAUUGUUCUGGCUUGGAGUUGCCCACCAGAGCCAUCUCAGGCUACAAAGGCUGAAAGAUUACAAGAGCCAAAACACAUCAGUUUUGAAGAGAAAGUUAUCCUAACAGUUCUGUUCAGAUCAAGAUGAACUUUAAAUAAUCCAUAUCCACCACAGGCUUCUUACUAAGCAGUUCAGGACUCUGGUCAAAUUGCCCACAGUCAGACUGAAAAGAGAAGGGAAAUCAUCUUCAUCAUAUUGGUCAGGCUGGUCUUGAACUCCUGACCUCAGGUGAUCUACCCAUCUCGACCUCCCAAAGUGCUGGGAUUACAGGCAUGAGCCACAGUGCCCAGCCCAUUGCAUCAUUCUUCAAGCCAUCUUCUUAGUGACAGGACAUGUUCCUGGUUGUCCUCUUACCUUUCUAAAGAAUAGUUCCUUCUCCAUUGGCUUCUCUGCUCCUCUUCCUCCUCACACUAGCCUCACACUUUUCUUGGGGUGAGGGGGUGGGGUCCUGAGGCUUCUCUGCAGAGUUAGAGGUCUCUUCAGGACAGCUUGAAACAUGAUCCAGCCUUAGUCCCUUAUUUGGCAGGACUGGAAACUGAGGUCCAAAAAGGAUAUGUAAUCUACAUAAAGUCAUGGGAAUAAUUUAGUGACACAAUUGGGACUAGAACCUAGGUCUCCAGAUCUCCAACUGCAUUCACUGCUCAGUUCAUCUUACCACUGACUUGAACACAGGAGGAAGAACACCAAAGAGUGUUGCUGAUCUAUAUGAAGCUCUUUGUUCUUCAUCUUCUAAGUCCUUGUUAUUCAAAGUGUAGUCCAUAAACAGCAGGCACUAUCUAGAUGCUUAUUGAAAAUGCAGACUCUCAGGCCUCACCCAGACCUACUGAAAGAAUCAGAAUCUGCAUUUUAACAAGAUGAUCAGGUGAUUCUAACACACAUUAAAAUUUGA